UAAUACGGAGGGUGCAAGCGUUAAUCGGAAUUACUGGGCGUAAAGCGCGCGUAGGCGGUUGGAUAAGUCAGCUGUGAAAGCCCCGGGCUCAACCUGGGAACUGCAUUUGAUACUGUCCGACUUGAGUAUGGUAGAGGGGGGUGGAAUUCCCGGAGUAGCGGUGAAAUGCGUAGAUAUCGGGAGGAACACCAGUGGCGAAGGCGGCCCCCUGGACCAAUACUGACGCUGAGGUGCGAAAGCGUGGGGAGCAAACAGG
This 256-nucleotide ribosomal RNA is filed under the name uncultured bacterium. RNAcentral's name for it is "partial 16S ribosomal RNA". It matches the Rfam family "Bacterial small subunit ribosomal RNA", at positions 521 to 776 of the family's 1533-position model. The record is from RNAcentral.